Long non-coding RNA from Mizuhopecten yessoensis (Yesso scallop), 1040 nucleotides. RefSeq lists it as uncharacterized. The record is from RefSeq and is a predicted model, not a curated record. Lineage: Eukaryota; Metazoa; Mollusca; Bivalvia; Pectinida; Pectinidae. The transcript has 5 exons.
UACUUACAGGUAAACCAAAAAGACCAAAACGUAAUACGAUGGCCAAUUAUCCAACCCGGGGGAACUCAAACGGUCAAUCGAAAACAAAAGGAAAAAGGCCUAACAAUGAACCGGACCAGGAACAGUCAAGCGGUCCAUCGGAAACCGAAGAAAAUGGGACUGACAAUGAUUCAGACCAGGGACAGUCAAGCGCAAAGCGAAGGAAAUAGGACUGACAAUGAUCCAGACCAGGGACAGUCAAGCGGCCAGCGAGUCAAACGAAUGAAGACCAGUAAGAGUGACGCACAGUGAUCUUCCAGUAGUUACAUGUAUGUGUACAGUACGUGUAUAUGUACUGCACGUGUGACUUAGGUGUAAAUGAUAAAAACGAAGGUCAUUCAUGACACAUAAAAAGAUACAGGUGGGAAAACAAAUACUGGAGUAACCAGUGAUUAUAGAAAUGUGCAUUAUUUGGGAUAACAGCCACUUCGGCCAAAAAAAAUAUAUGUUUGUUUUCGGUUAUCCUGCCUAUCCUACAUUUUGUGUGUCAACCCUAAAAAGUAUUUCGACAAAUUUCAAAAAAGCACUGUUAAAUUCAAGAUAAAUAUCCCUAAAAAACUUUAUAAUUAAAUGAAAAAUAACAUAUAUUACCUACACUAAUGUACCUACCCUAAAUUUUUCAGACAUGUAACAUGAAUCAAACAUGUUUUACGUUUGGCCUUACCAAGACAUUGUACAGUCUAAAUGAUAUAUUGAAUAAAGAAAAAACCAAGGAUAAUGUGUGCAUAUAAACUAUACAAUUGUGUAUAAUUAUAGAAAUCUGAAUUAUCUGUAAUUAUAGUUUCUCACCAAAACCAGACAUUAUACAGUCUCCAUUUAAUCAUACUGAGCAAAGAAAAUCGAGGAUGAGGCGUACAUAUAAAACAUAUGACUGAUUAUAUUUAUUUAAUCAUAUACUAUCAUUGUUACUUUGGAAUCGUGUUUUAUCAACCCCUAUAUGAGCUUAUCAUGUCACCACAACUGUACUAUGUGGAUAUAUCUAAUAAACAAACAGUGUAUUA